This 1466-nucleotide long non-coding RNA is filed under the name Ricinus communis (castor bean). Its description in RNAcentral is "long non-coding RNA (RCOM_LNC002871)". Lineage: Eukaryota; Viridiplantae; Streptophyta; Magnoliopsida; Malpighiales; Euphorbiaceae. The record is from RNAcentral.
ACACCCCACAAAAUAGUAAAAAUGUACACCAUAUGCAACCAAAAUAAGGGAGAAAUUAAAGGAGAAAACUUUGAUCCUUGCUUUUAUUUGCCCCCCUUUUCUCUCUUCCUUUUUGCUGUUCUGAUAGUGAAAAAGGAAAAAAAAAAAAAAAAGUUAAAUGAUGCUGGUUGAGACUUUAGACAACAAAAGGUAAAUAUUCAACCACAAUCUUAAUUAAUUACAUUGUAAAUUAAAGAUCUGGACCAACAAUUCUUUCUGUUUUUUCAUGUUUACUUUUGCAUUAGAUGGAGAGAAUGACAAGUAGCUGCAAAAUGAUAUUAAAGUUGAAAUAAUGAACCAAGAAAAAAUAAUUAAAAAUAAUAGUGGGUUUGGAAACAAAGGUAAGACAAAGAUGAAUAGAACACAAACCUAACAAUGUAGGACAUGCAAAAGCAAAACCACUAUUAUAAAGUUUAUUUUUCUAUCUUUCAUUUCUAUAUUACAUGAAUCUCCUAAAAGGAACUGAAAUGCCAACUUUACCCAGAUAAUUCAAACUUCAAACUCUACAUGCCAAAUUGAUGGGAACCUAUUUGGCAUAUGCAUAACAUGCUAGACAAAAGAAAGUAAAUGUCCUUGCACCAGAACUAAAACCUCUCUAAGGCAAGAGGUUAUUACAUGGUCCUGAUUCACUACGUCAUCAAAAAAACUCAUCCGAUAAAAUGAUGAUAUUUAAUCUCAUUGGAUGAGUUUUGUGAUGACGUGCUGGAUCAAGUUCAUAUAAUAAUUUCUCCUCUGACUAUUAUUGCACUACCCAUGAAGGAAUUUAAAGUUCAUCUGGGCAGGGCAGCUAUAUCAGUGAACCACUAGAAAUAGUGUCUCAGAAAUGGACUGACAUUGAAGAGCUUCCCAAGUACAAUGAUCUAGAAAUAAGUAGCCCAUUUGACAAGUUUAAGGAUGCAUGCUUGAAGAGAGUUUGCAUUCUCUGUUAUUUUCGUUACUUUCUGUUAUGUUACACUACGUGAGGAUGAAUUUGAAUAUAUUCAUUAAUUAGAGAUGCAGAUUACAUGAAAAUCAAUCAAGAGAAAGGACUGGUUGCAGUUGCAGGUAAGAACGUAAGGGAAAAAUCAGAAUGUAUAAGCUAGAUGAAGUGGAUUAAACACCUGAACAUAGAUCCUGACGAUGACCAUGAGAUUCGUCUUAAGUCGCAACUUUAGAAAGGAAAUUUAACCCAUCUGCGGAGGUUUGUUUUUAUACUAGAUGCUAUUUUUUGGUAGGACAGAAACACCCUGAAAAAGGCCAGUACGUGCGAUUGGAAAGAAAGAGUCAUGGGGAAGUCCUUACUAGAGUAGAUCACAGUGACAGAGUGAAGCCUUAAUUGUCCUCGUGGUAGCUUUCUCCUUGAGAGUGCAUCAGGCUGACCAGUUUAUCCCUCUCAAAAACGUCAGGGGCUCUGAAAAUCUGAACCUGUGCAAGCCCCUUAAUUUAUU